CAAUAGCGUAUAUUAAAGUUGUUGCAGUUAGAACGCUCGUAGUCGGAUUUCGGGGCGGGCCGACCGGUCUGCCGAUGGGUACGCACUGGCCGGCGCGUCCUUCCUUCCGGAGACCGUGCCUACUCUUAACUGAGCGGGGGCGGGAGACGGAUCUUUUACUUUGAAAAAAUCAGAGUGUUUCAAGCAGGCAGCCCGCUCUUGCAUGGAUUAGCAUGGGAUAAUGAAAUAGGACUUUGGUGCUAUUUUGUUGGUUUCGAACACCGAAGUAAUGAUUAACAGGGACAGUCAGGGGCACUCGUAUUCCGCCGAGAGAGGUGAAAUUCUCAGACCAGCGGAAGACGAACUACUGCGAAAGCAUUUGCCAGGGAUGUUUNCACUGA
RNAcentral lists this ribosomal RNA (380 nucleotides) under uncultured eukaryote. RNAcentral's name for it is "partial 18S ribosomal RNA". It matches the Rfam family "Eukaryotic small subunit ribosomal RNA", at positions 592 to 976 of the family's 1831-position model. The record is from RNAcentral.